UCCGUAGGUGAACCUGCGGAAGGAUCAUUAAAAAGAUCAACCCGGUUGUGAAGUCAAUGCCUCUACCGGCCUUGUGGGGCUGUCUUAAACUCACAGCAAUGCCAAUUGACAAGUCAUGCCUGUUUACAGGCCUUGUGGGGCUGUUUUAAACUCACAGCAAUACCAGUGACGCACACUCAUACCGGGGGCUUCGGCCCCCGGGCCGGUUGAAUCCCACCCGUGUCUAUAUACUCUUGUUGCUUUGGCAGGCCGUGGUCUCCACUGUGGGCUCUGCCUGUAUGUGCCUGCCAGAGGACCAAACUCCGAAUUUUAGUGAUGUCUGAGUACUAUAUAAUAGUUAAAACUUUCAACAACGGAUCUCUUGGUUCUGGCAUCGAUGAAGAACGCAGCGAAAUGCGAUAAGUAAUGUGAAUUGCAGAAUUCAGUGAAUCAUCGAAUCUUUGAACGCACAUUGCGCCCUGUGGUAUUCCGCAGGGCAUGCCUGUUCGAGCGUCAUUAUAACCACUCAAGCCUGGCUUGGUAUUGGAGUUUGCGGUUCCGCAGCUCCUAAAAUCAGUGGCGGUGCCGGUGUGGCUCUACGCGUAGUAAUUCUUCUCGCGAUGGAGUUCCCCUGGUUGCUUGCCAGAACCCCCCAAUUUUUACAGGUUGACCUCGGAUCAGGUAGGGAUACCCGCUGAACUUAAGCAUAUCAAUAAGCGGAGGA
Molecule: ribosomal RNA, 703 nt
Filed under: Helotiales sp. 1 KB-2015
Lineage: Eukaryota; Fungi; Ascomycota; Leotiomycetes; Helotiales
Description: eukaryotic LSU rRNA
Rfam family: 5.8S ribosomal RNA (bases 342-495)
Source: RNAcentral